AGUAAAAGGAUCUGGGCUGCAGUCCAGUCUGAGAGAUGCCAGCAAAGGCUUCCUAGGCCAGUUCAGUCCAGUAAAUCCCUCUUCGAUCUUCUCUUCCACACAGACAGCAGUGAUGAGCAUGCCCAUGAACUCACAUGAUUAUUUUGGGGAAAAUGAAAGAGUUGUAUUCUUUUUGAGGUAGUAAUUCCACUUUCAGGGGCAAAUACAUUUUGAUUAUUUUAUCACCCUUCAGUGAGUUGUUUUUGUUCUUUAAUCAAGGAUGUAUGUUUGAAGUAAGAAGUAAAGCAUAAAG
RNAcentral lists this long non-coding RNA (292 nucleotides) under Homo sapiens (human). Its description in RNAcentral is "LHRI_LNC116.1". Lineage: Eukaryota; Metazoa; Chordata; Mammalia; Primates; Hominidae. The record is from RNAcentral.